AUUGAACGCUGGCGGAAUGCUUUACACAUGCAAGUCGAACGGCAGCACGGACUUCGGUCUGGUGGCGAGUGGCGAACGGGUGAGUAAUGUAUCGGAACGUGCCCAGUCGUGGGGGAUAACGUAGUGAAAAUUACGCUAAUACCGCAUACGAUCUAUGGAUGAAAGCGGGGGAUCGCAAGACCUCGCGCGAUUGGAGCGGCCGAUGUCAGAUUAGGUAGUUGGUGGGGUAAAGGCCCACCAAGCCAACGAUCUGUAGCUGGUAUGAGAGGACGACCAGCCACACUGGAACGGAGACACGGUCCAGACUCCUACGGGAGGCAGCAGUGGGGAAUUUUGGACAAUGGGCGAAAGCCUGAUCCAGCCAUUCCGCGUGCAGGAUGAAGGCCCUCGGGUCGUAAACUGCUUUUGUACAGAACGAAAAGGUUUCUACUAAUACUAGGAGCUCAUGACGGUACUGUAAGAAUAAGCACCGGCUAACUACGUGCCAGCCGCCGCCGUAA
This 500-nucleotide ribosomal RNA is filed under the name uncultured bacterium. RNAcentral describes it as "partial 16S ribosomal RNA". It matches the Rfam family "Bacterial small subunit ribosomal RNA", at positions 30 to 523 of the family's 1533-position model. The record is from RNAcentral.